This is a long non-coding RNA of Nicotiana tabacum (common tobacco), 600 nucleotides long. RefSeq lists it as uncharacterized. The record is from RefSeq and is a predicted model, not a curated record. Lineage: Eukaryota; Viridiplantae; Streptophyta; Magnoliopsida; Solanales; Solanaceae.
UAUUUUCCAUCGGCAGACCCCCCUCUUCGCGUUCUGAUUUCCUCUUCUUAGUUCUCGAUUGAAAAGCAACACAGACAAUACACAAAAAGGGAAAGGAAUGAAAAAACGAAAAAAAAAAAUUGGGGAGGAAGGCAGAGAAACGUUCUUCUCCUUUCCAUUUUUAGAUUUUAUCAAGUUUUCUUGUUAAAUUUCAAAAAAAAACAAUUCAGAAAAAGUAAAAGAUAUAUUCUGAAAUCUCUUCCUUUUGGAUUUGGUUUUCAAAAAAUAGAGUCAAGCUGAAUUGGGUGUUCAGAUUUGGAGUUUCCUUCGAGAUUGGUUCCAGGUUUAAGUUCGCGGUUCCGAUUUCUUCUUGCUGUUGUAUUUUCGUCGGACUUUCAUCUUGGUGAAUAUGUCAUGGAUACUUUCUUUACAUAUUAAAGAAGAAACAUUUAACAGGUUUGAGUGUGUGUUCGAAAUUAGCAGAAUGGAUGGGAUGGAAUUGGACGUCUAAGUGGCUCUUUUGAUAGCAUUGAUUCAUUUAAUGUACUAUUUCAUCUUCCGUGGCUCAUGGUCCCUUUAAAUAACCAUAUUGCUUAUUUAUAUAUAUGUUUACUUUGUGUA